GAAGCCCGAUGCCGCUGAAGCCACAAAUGCAGAGACAGCAGGGAUGGCAGCAAUGUGGGACUUUACAGUGCACCACAGUCGCCUUCCAGUUGGGCUGGUUUGCAGGAAAUCAGGAAAGAGAGACAUUCACUAUGCAUAACAGCACUCUGCAGUGGGAGAAGUGAGAGAAGCUAAGCUGCAUCCUGCAAGACUGGAGAUGGAGAGGAGGAAGUUGGAGCCUCCUCAGUGAACUUCAGCUUUUCUGCCACGGGGGAACUGGUGGGAAAAGUUCAGAAAAGAAUCCUCCAGGUGUGAAGUCUGAUGUCAGUCAGCCUCAGAAAACCAGCACCAGCUGAGCUGAGGACCUGCAAGCAAGUGUCAGACCCAGGGACCUUGAUAAUGAGACACCACAGCUUGUCCUUGUCUAGUUGGUGAGACCGUACAUUCCCUCUUGUUGUGCAAUUUGUGGUGGCUUUACAGACUUUGAUGCCAACCUGAAGGACACACCCCAAGCUUUUGGAUGCUGCUCAGCCAGGACAAACCCCAAAACAUGACACUUCUUCCCAUGGCAUCACCAAAUCAGGCUUCCCUGAUCCCUACAGAGUCGAGGCAGCCCCAGCUCACCUCUCCCUCUGCUCCUGACUGAAAUUCUAGCUGGAAGAGCAGCCCUUCCCUGCUUGAGAAGCACAUGAGACGGACUUGGUAUGCGAUGUCGCACCUGGGAUACAUCACACUCCUCAGGAACAUCUGCAGGCCACAAGCAGGGCUCAAGUGGAUGUGAGGAGGCCCUCAAACAACCCCAUCCCACCAAGUGGGACCUCUCUGCAUGGUCACCCUGGAGAGAGGCACCAGCUGGGACUAAGUUCAUCAGCCAGGUGGGAAUUUCAGGGGGUGGUGCUGUGGCUCUGGUGGUGGAAGCCAUCCCAAGCCAUGGGCUGUCUCCACAGGCAGGAACCAAAGGGUUAUCCCAAUGCAGCUUUGCCAGCAUGUUGAUCUCUUCCCACUGUGGUGUCAAGAAGGGCUGUUGGGAUGAGGGGUUGG
Molecule: long non-coding RNA, 1020 nt
Organism: Melospiza melodia melodia
Lineage: Eukaryota; Metazoa; Chordata; Aves; Passeriformes; Passerellidae
Exons: 6
Source: RefSeq, a predicted model, not a curated record